AUUAAAUUGAAGAGUUUGAUCAUGGCUCAGAUUGAACGCUGGCGGUAGGUUUUAUCCAUGCAAGUCGAGCGGUAACAGACAUUUUGAUUCAGCUUGCUGAAUCUAGUGCUGACGAGCGGCGAACUGGUGAGUAACGCGUAGGAAUCUGCCCAGUAGCGGGGGAUAGCCCGAGGAAACUCGGAUUAAUACCGCAUACGCCCUAAGGGGGAAAGGGGGCAUCUUUGAUGCUCUUACUAUUGGAGGAGCCUGCGUAAGAUUAGCUUGUUGGUAGGGUAAAGGCCUACCAAGGCGACGAUCUUUAGCUGGUCUGAGAGGACGAUCAGCCACAUUGGGACUGAGACACGGCCCAGACGUCUACGGACGGCAGCAGGAGAGAAUAUUGGACAAUGAGGGAAACCUUGAUCCAGCCAUACCGCGUGUGUGAAGAAGGCCUUAGGGUUGUAAAGCACUUUAAGCGAUGAAGAAGAAAAGUAAGUUAAUACCUUAUUUUUUUGACGUUACUCGCAGAAUAAGUACCGGCUAACUCCGUGCCAGCAGCCGCGGUAAUACGGAGGGUGCAAGCGUUAAU
This 568-nucleotide ribosomal RNA is filed under the name Gammaproteobacteria bacterium. Its description in RNAcentral is "bacterial SSU rRNA". It matches the Rfam family "Bacterial small subunit ribosomal RNA", at positions 1 to 545 of the family's 1533-position model. Lineage: Bacteria; Pseudomonadati; Pseudomonadota; Gammaproteobacteria. The record is from RNAcentral.